Molecule: ribosomal RNA, 476 nt
Filed under: uncultured bacterium
Lineage: Bacteria
Description: bacterial SSU rRNA
Rfam family: Bacterial small subunit ribosomal RNA
Source: RNAcentral
UUUCUAUGGAAGCUUGCUUCCACUGAGAAGAUAGUGGCGAACGGGUGAGUAACACGUGGGUAACCUGCCCAUAAGAGGGGGAGUAACAUCCGGAAACGGGUGCUAAUACCGCAUAGUUUUCUUGAUCGCAUGAUUGAGAAAGGAAAGAACGGCCUUUGUGCUGUCGCUUAUGGAUGGACCCGCGGCGUAUUAGUUAGUUGGUGAGGUAACGGCUCACCAAGACGAUGAUACGUAGCCGACCUGAGAGGGUGAUCGGCCACAUUGGGACUGAGACACGGCCCAAACUCCUACGGGAGGCAGCAGUAGGGAAUCUUCCGCAAUGGACGAAAGUCUGACGGAGCAACGCCGCGUGAGUGAAAGAAGGUUUUCGGAUCGUAAAACUACUGUUGUCAGAGAAGAACAAGUUGGAGAGUAACUGCUCCAGCCUUGACGGUAUCUGACCAGAAAGCCACGGCUAACUACGUGCCAGCCGCCGC